AGCUACCUGAGGAGAAGGGAAGUGGGAGAGACUUAGAAGCUGGCCAGCAGGGAAGCUGCUGAUGGGAAAAUGACUGUCAAGGGUUUUCUGUACAUACUAGCGGCAUCACACUGGGAUUCAAUUUUUUUUUCUCUUUAUCACUCCUGUAGGUAAGGAGGAGAAAAGAAAGAAGGAAAAAUUGGAAAGAUAAAUGGGGUCUUCCAGUGAAGCUUUCCAUUGUGCACCCAUAUCUAACAUAUUAUCAGCUGAUCCGUAGUGAAAAAUCUUAUAUUUUCCAAACUUGGUCUGCACCAUCAUACUGCUGCUGUUCCUUCACACCACUAUAUCUUUCUACAUUUUCCCUUUACCUGUAAGUAUUUUUCCUAAGUACAUCUGGCUAAAUUAGAGUCAUAAUUCAAAAUUCAUUUUAGUAAUAAUCUCUGAUACUUCUCCAAUGUUUUUACUUUAUUUCAAUUGACAAACAUGGUGUAUAUUUAUUAUGUAUAACAUACUUUGAAAUAUAUAUAUAUGUGGAAUGGCUAAAUUGAGCUAAUUAACAUUGCGUUAACUCACAGGUUUAUCAUUUUUGCUAAUAAGAACAUUUAAAAUCGACUCUGUUAGCAAUUUGUAAGAAUGCAAUACAUUUUAUUAACCAUGCUGCA
Molecule: long non-coding RNA, 641 nt
Filed under: Macaca fascicularis (crab-eating macaque)
Lineage: Eukaryota; Metazoa; Chordata; Mammalia; Primates; Cercopithecidae
Description: lncRNA (ENSMFAG00000062039.1)
Source: RNAcentral